GGGUUGUGAGGUUAAGCGACUAAGCGUACACGGUGGAUGCCCUGGCAGUCAGAGGCGAUGAAGGACGUGCUAAUCUGCGAAAAGCGUCGGUAAGGUGAUAUGAACCGUUACAGCCGGCGAUGUCCGAAUGGGGAAACCCAGUGCAAUUCGUUGCACUAUCGUUAACUGAAUACAUAGGUUAACGAGGCGAACCGGGGGAACUGAAACAUCUAAGUACCCCGAGGAAAAGAAAUCAACCGAGAUUCCCCCAGUAGCGGCGAGCGAACGGGGAGCAGCCCAGAGUCUGAAUCAGCUUGUGUGUUAGUGGAACGGUCUGGAAAGUCCGACGGUACAGGGUGAUAGUCCCGUACACCAAAAUGCACAGGCUGUGAACUCGAAGAGUAGGGCGGGACACGUGGUAUCCUGUCUGAAUAUGGGGGGACCAUCCUCCAAGGCUAAAUACUCCUGACUGACCGAUAGUGAACCAGUACCGUGAGGGAAAGGCGAAAAGAACCCCGGCGAGGGGAGUGAAAAAGAACCUGAAACCGUGUACGUACAAGCAGUGGGAGCACCUUCGGGUGUGACUGCGUACCUUUUGUAUAAUGGGUCAGCGACUUAUAUUCUGUAGCAAGGUUAACCGUAUAGGGGAGCCGCAGGGAAACCGAGUCUUAACUGGGCGUUAAGUUGCAGGGUAUAGACCCGAAACCCGGUGAUCUAGCCAUGGGCAGGUUGAAGGUUGGGUAACACUAACUGGAGGACCGAACCGACUAAUGUUGAAAAAUUAGCGGAUGACUUGUGGCUGGGGGUGAAAGGCCAAUCAAACCGGGAGAUAGCUGGUUCUCCCCGAAAGCUAUUUAGGUAGCGCCUCGUGAAUUCAUCUUCGGGGGUAGAGCACUGUUUCGGCUAGGGGGUCAUCCCGACUUACCAACCCGAUGCAAACUACGAAUACCGAAGAAUGUUAUCACGGGAGACACACGGCGGGUGCUAACGUCCGUCGUGAAGAGGGAAACAACCCAGACCGCCAGCUAAGGUCCCAAAGUCAUGGUUAAGUGGGAAACGAUGUGGGAAGGCACAGACAGCCAGGAUGUUGGCUUAGAAGCAGCCAUCAUUUAAAGAAAGCGUAAUAGCUCACUGGUCGAGUCGGCCUGCGCGGAAGAUGUAACGGGGCUAAACCAUGCACCGAAGCUGCGGCAGCGACACUAUGUGUUGUUGGGUAGGGGAGCGUUCUGUAAGCCUGCGAAGGUGACCUGUGAGGGUUGCUGGAGGUAUCAGAAGUGCGAAUGCUGACAUAAGUAACGAUAAAGCGGGUGAAAAGCCCGCUCGCCGGAAGACCAAGGGUUCCUGUCCAACGUUAAUCGGGGCAGGGUGAGUCGACCCCUAAGGCGAGGCCGAAAGGCGUAGUCGAUGGGAAACAGGUUAAUAUUCCUGUACUUGGUGUUACUGCGAAGGGGGGACGGAGAAGGCUAUGUUAGCCGGGCGACGGUUGUCCCGGUUUAAGCAUGUAGGCUGAUUGUCCAGGCAAAUCCGGAUAAUCAAGGCUGAGGUGUGAUGACGAGGCACUACGGUGCUGAAGUAACAAAUGCCCUGCUUCCAGGAAAAGCCUCUAAGCAUCAGGUAACAUCAAAUCGUACCCCAAACCGACACAGGUGGUCAGGUAGAGAAUACCAAGGCGCUUGAGAGAACUCGGGUGAAGGAACUAGGCAAAAUGGUGCCGUAACUUCGGGAGAAGGCACGCUGGUGUGUAGGUGAAGUCCCUGCGGAUGGAGCUGAGACCAGUCGAAGAUACCAGCUGGCUGCAACUGUUUAUUAAAAACACAGCACUGUGCAAACACGAAAGUGGACGUAUACGGUGUGACGCCUGCCCGGUGCCGGAAGGUUAAUUGAUGGGGUUAUCCGUAAGGAGAAGCUCUUGAUCGAAGCCCCGGUAAACGGCGGCCGUAACUAUAACGGUCCUAAGGUAGCGAAAUUCCUUGUCGGGUAAGUUCCGACCUGCACGAAUGGCGUAAUGAUGGCCAGGCUGUCUCCACCCGAGACUCAGUGAAAUUGAACUCGCUGUGAAGAUGCAGUGUACCCGCGGCAAGACGGAAAGACCCCGUGAACCUUUACUAUAGCUUGACACUGAACAUUGAGCCUUGAUGUGUAGGAUAGGUGGGAGGCUUUGAAGCGUGGACGCCAGUCUGCGUGGAGCCAACCUUGAAAUACCACCCUUUAAUGUUUGAUGUUCUAACGUUGGCCCCUUACCGGGGUUGCGGACAGUGUCUGGUGGGUAGUUUGACUGGGGCGGUCUCCUCCCAAAGCGUAACGGAGGAGCACGAAGGUUAGCUAAUCCUGGUCGGACAUCAGGAGGUUAGUGCAAUGGCAUAAGCUAGCUUGACUGCGAGCGUGACGGCGCGAGCAGGUGCGAAAGCAGGUCAUAGUGAUCCGGUGGUUCUGAAUGGAAGGGCCAUCGCUCAACGGAUAAAAGGUACUCCGGGGAUAACAGGCUGAUACCGCCCAAGAGUUCAUAUCGACGGCGGUGUUUGGCACCUCGAUGUCGGCUCAUCACAUCCUGGGGCUGAAGUAGGUCCCAAGGGUAUGGCUGUUCGCCAUUUAAAGUGGUACGCGAGCUGGGUUUAGAACGUCGUGAGACAGUUCGGUCCCUAUCUGCCGUGGGCGCUGGAGAAUUGAGGGGGGCUGCUCCUAGUACGAGAGGACCGGAGUGGACGCAUCACUGGUGUUCGGGUUGUCAUGCCAAUGGCACUGCCCGGUAGCUAAAUGCGGAAGAGAUAAGUGCUGAAAGCAUCUAAGCACGAAACUUGCCCCGAGAUGAGUUCUCCCUGAGACUUUAAGUCUCCUGAAGGAACGUUAAAGACGAUGACGUUGAUAGGCCGGGUGUGUAAGCGCAGCGAUGCGUUGAGCUAACCGGUACUAAUGAACCGUGAGGCUUAACCUUACAACGCCGAAG
RNAcentral lists this ribosomal RNA (2923 nucleotides) under Klebsiella pneumoniae. RNAcentral's name for it is "23S ribosomal RNA". It matches the Rfam family "Bacterial large subunit ribosomal RNA". Lineage: Bacteria; Pseudomonadati; Pseudomonadota; Gammaproteobacteria; Enterobacterales; Enterobacteriaceae. The record is from RNAcentral.